This 253-nucleotide ribosomal RNA is filed under the name uncultured bacterium. RNAcentral's name for it is "partial 16S ribosomal RNA". It matches the Rfam family "Bacterial small subunit ribosomal RNA", at positions 524 to 776 of the family's 1533-position model. The record is from RNAcentral.
UACGAGGGGGGCGAGCGUUGUUCGGAAUUAUUGGGCGUAAAGGGCGCGUAGGCGGUCGGAUAAGUCUUGUGUGAAAUCUUCGGGCUCAACUCGAAGUCUGCACAGGAAACUAUCUGGCUUGAGUGUGGGAGAGGUGAGUGGAAUUCCUGGUGUAGCGGUGAAAUGCGUAGAUAUCAGGAGGAACACCUGUGGCGAAAGCGGCUCACUGGACCACAACUGACGCUGAGGCGCGAAAGCAUGGGGAGCGAACAGG